RNAcentral lists this ribosomal RNA (248 nucleotides) under uncultured Eubacterium sp. RNAcentral's name for it is "partial 16S ribosomal RNA". It matches the Rfam family "Bacterial small subunit ribosomal RNA", at positions 524 to 771 of the family's 1533-position model. Lineage: Bacteria; Bacillati; Bacillota; Clostridia; Eubacteriales; Eubacteriaceae. The record is from RNAcentral.
UACGUAUGGUGCAAGCGUUAUCCGGAUUUACUGGGUGUAAAGGGUGCGUAGGUGGCAUGGCAAGUCAGAAGUGAAAGGCCGGGGCUCAACCCCGGGACUGCUUUUGAAACUGCGUGUCUUGAGUGAUGGAGAGGCAGGCGGAAUUCCCAGUGUAGCGGUGAAAUGCAUAGAUAUUGGGAGGAACACCAGUGGCGAAGGCGGCCUGCUGGGCUUUAACUGACGCUGAAGCACGAAAGCGUGGGUAGCAA